RNAcentral lists this ribosomal RNA (429 nucleotides) under Bacillota bacterium. RNAcentral's name for it is "Firmicutes bacterium partial 16S ribosomal RNA". It matches the Rfam family "Bacterial small subunit ribosomal RNA", at positions 355 to 776 of the family's 1533-position model. The record is from RNAcentral. Lineage: Bacteria; Bacillati; Bacillota.
UAGGGAAUCUUCCACAAUGGACGCAAGUCUGAUGGAGCAACGCCGCGUGAGUGAAGAAGGUUUUCGGAUCGUAAAGCUCUGUUGUUGGUGAAGAAGGAUAGAGGUAGUAACUGGCCUUUAUUUGACGGUAAUCAACCAGAAAGUCACGGCUAACUACGUGCCAGCAGCCGCGGUAAUACGUAGGUGGCAAGCGUUGUCCGGAUUUAUUGGGCGUAAAGCGAGCGCAGGCGGAAGAAUAAGUCUGAUGUGAAAGCCCUCGGCUUAACCGAGGAACUGCAUCGUAAACUGUUUUUCUUGAGUGCAGAAGAGGAGGGUGGAAUUCCAUGUGUAGCGGUGGAAUGCGUAGAUAUAUGGGAGAACACCAGGGGCGAAGGAGACUCUCGGGUCUGCAACUGACGCUGAGGAUCGAAAGCAUGGGUAGCGAACAGG